AUCCAACUCAUUACUCCACUUGCAUUUGGAAACACAGAAUCCAACUCAUUACUCCACUUGCAUUUGGAAACACAGAAUCCAACUCAUUACUCCACUUGCAUUUGGAAACACAGAAUCCUACUCAUUACUCCACUUGCAUUUGGAAACACAGAAUCCUACUCAUUACUCCACUUGCAUUUGGAAACACAGAAUCCAACUCAUUACUCCACUUGCAUUUGGAAACACAGAAUCCAACUCAUUACUCCACUUGCAUUUGGAAACACAGAAUCCAACUCAUUACUCCACUUGCAUUUGGAAACACAGAAUCCAACUCAUUACUCCACUUGCAUUUGGAAACACAGAAUCCAACUCAUUACUCCACUUGCAUUUGGAAACACAGAAUCCUACUCAUUACUCCACUUGCAUUUGGAAACACAGAAUCCUACUCAUUACUCCACUUGCAUUUGGAAACACAGAAUCCUACUCAUUACUCCACUUGCAUUUGGAAACACAGAAUCCAACUCAUUACUCCACUUGCAUUUGGAAACACAGAAUCCAACUCAUUACUCCACUUGCAUUUGGAAACACAGAAUCCAACUCAUUACUCCACUUGCAUUUGGAAACACAGAAUCCAACUCAUUACUCCACUUGCAUUUGGAAACACAGAAUCCAACUCAUUACUCCACUUGCAUUUGGAAACACAGAAUCCAACUCAUUACUCCACUUGCAUUUGGAAACACAGAAUCCUACUCAUUACUCCACUUGCAUUUGGAAACACAGAAUCCUACUCAUUACUCCACUUGCAUUUGGAAACACAGAAUCCUACUCAUUACUCCACUUGCAUUUGGAAACACAGAAUCCAACUCAUUACUCCACUUGCAUUUGGAAACACAGAAUCCAACUCAUUACUCCACUUGCAUUUGGAAACACAGAAUCCAACUCAUUACUCCACUUGCAUUUGGAAACACAGAAUCCAACUCAUUACUCCACUUGCAUUUGGAAACACAGAAUCCAACUCAUUACUCCACUUGCAUUUGGAAACACAGAAUCCUACUCAUUACUCCA
This 1044-nucleotide long non-coding RNA is filed under the name Oncorhynchus kisutch (coho salmon). RNAcentral describes it as "lncRNA (ENSOKIG00005030215.1)". Lineage: Eukaryota; Metazoa; Chordata; Actinopteri; Salmoniformes; Salmonidae. The record is from RNAcentral.